UAACACGUAUCCAACCUGCCGUCUACUCUUGGACAGCCUUCUGAAAGGAAGAUUAAUACAAGAUGGCAUCAUGAGUUCACAUGUUCACAUGAUUAAAGGUAUUCCGGUAGACGAUGGGGAUGCGUUCCAUUAGAUAGUAGGCGGGGUAACGGCCCACCUAGUCUUCGAUGGAUAGGGGUUCUGAGAGGAAGGUCCCCCACAUUGGAACUGAGACACGGUCCAAACUCCUACGGGAGGCAGCAGUGAGGAAUAUUGGUCAAUGGGCGAGAGCCUGAACCAGCCAAGUAGCGUGAAGGAUGACUGCCCUAUGGGUUGUAAACUUCUUUUAUAAAGGAAUAAAGUCGGGUAUGGAUACCCGUUUGCAUGUACUUUAUGAAUAAGGAUCGGCUAACUCCGUGCCAGCAGCCGCGGUAAUACGGAGGAUCCGAGCGUUAUCCGGAUUUAUUGGGUUUAAAGGGAGCGUAGAUGGAUGUUUAAGUCAGUUGUGAAAGUUUGCGGCUCAACCGUAAAAUUGCAGUUGAUACUGGAUAUCUUGAGUGCAGUUGAGGCAGGCGGAAUUUGUGGUGUAGCGGUGAAAUGCUUAGAUAUCACGAAGAACUCCGAUUGCGAAGGCAGCCUGCUAAGCUGCAACUGACAUUGAGGCUCGAAAGUGUGGGUAUCAAACAGGAUUAGAUACCCUGGUAGUCCACACGGUAAACGAUGAAUACUCGCUGU
RNAcentral lists this ribosomal RNA (714 nucleotides) under uncultured bacterium. RNAcentral describes it as "bacterial SSU rRNA". It matches the Rfam family "Bacterial small subunit ribosomal RNA", at positions 111 to 823 of the family's 1533-position model. The record is from RNAcentral.